Molecule: long non-coding RNA, 815 nt
Organism: Plodia interpunctella (Indianmeal moth)
Lineage: Eukaryota; Metazoa; Arthropoda; Insecta; Lepidoptera; Pyralidae
Exons: 3
Source: RefSeq, a predicted model, not a curated record
ACAAUACUUGCGAACAGCCAGUGGCAAGCCUAUGUUAUUGCUUGACAACUAUAAAUUUCAUUUGAAACACGACUACGGCAGCAAGAGAAGAUGGGUGUGCGGCCAAGCUCGAAAAGGAUGCAAAGUCACUGUCGCCACAUUCUCGACUACAUAGCACGAAUGGGGACACCGAGGUUUUCACUAAGUUCAGCGUUUUUCGGCGUGACCCGAAAUGGGAGGCGUUGCUUAGACAUCGGGGGCUGCAAGUUCACCCUGCACCAACACGAAGGAACGAAGAUCAGGUGGCGAUGUAUGAAGAAGACGUCAGGAUGUUCGGCAUUCGUGCUCACCGUUAAUAACGAUAUCAUCAAGAUACGGGAAAUACACAAUCAUUAAAUACUAGUCGUCAAAGUCAUUAUAAUUAGGCAAAUGUUGAUUAGGUUGCCAGCGUGUGUAGUUUUUAGAGAUGAUGGAAAUCAUAUACAUGUUUUUGUGGUUUUUUUUUCAACUUUGUGGGAUUUAGGAUAUGCAUGGAUGUAUCAGUCAAUGAAGCCCUAUUAAAUAAUUUAAAGUGAAGAUAAAUUAUAAAGUAAUAAUUGUACAAGAAGACAGUUUAGUCGUGACCACCUUUAUGACAUUGAAGUAUGUCGUGAAACAUUCUCGAUACAAGAUAUGAGUAUUAAACAACAACAAUAAUAUAAAUAAAAAUAAUAACCAAAAUUUAGCUGAUUCAUUUGAUUCCCAUUAUAACUUUGGAGGAGAGUAGAUUAUAAUUUUUAUAUAAUGAGAAUUGAUAAAAAAUAAAAAAGUCAUUUAACUUUUGUUUUGAAGAUUUU